UAAGCCAUGCGAGUUAAUGUUCUUCGUGAACAUAGCAGACUGCUCAGUAACACGGGGAUAACCUGCCCUUAGGACUGGCAUAACCCCGGGAAACUGGGGAUAAGUCCGGAUAGAUCAUAAAUGCUGGAAUGCUUUAUGAUUGAAAGGUUUCGACCGCCUUAGGAUGGAUCUGCGGCCUAUCAGGUUGUAGUGGGUGUAAUGUACCUACUAGCCUGCGACGGGUACGGGUUGUGGAAGCAAGAGCCCGGAGAUGGAUUCUGAGACAUGAAUCCAGGCCCUACGGGGCGCAGCAGGCGCGAAAACUUUACAAUGCGGGAAACCGUGAUAAGGGAACACUGAGUGCUAGCAUUUAUGUUAGCUGUCCACAUGUGUAAAUAGCAUGUGAUAGCAAGGGCUGGGCAAGACCGGUGCCAGCCGCCGCGGUAACACCGGCAGCCCGAGUGGUGAUCACUAUUAUUGGGUCUAAAGGGUCCGUAGCCGGUUUAAUCAGUCUUCUGGGAAAUCUAAUCGCUUAACUAUUAGGCUUCCAGGGGAUACUGUUAGACUUGGGACCGGGAGAGGUAAGAGGUACUGCAGGGGUAGGAGUGAAAUCUUGUAAUCCCUGUGAGACCACCAGUGGCGAAGGCGUCUUACCAGAACGGGUCCGACGGUGAGGGACGAAAGCUGGGGGCACGAACCGGAUUAGAUACCCGGGUAGUCCCAGCUGUAAACGAUGCUCGUUAGGUGUCAGGAACGGUGCGACUGUUUCUGGUGCCGAAGGGAAGCCGUGAAACG
RNAcentral lists this ribosomal RNA (774 nucleotides) under uncultured archaeon. Its description in RNAcentral is "bacterial SSU rRNA". It matches the Rfam family "Archaeal small subunit ribosomal RNA", at positions 45 to 821 of the family's 1478-position model. The record is from RNAcentral.